This 408-nucleotide ribosomal RNA is filed under the name uncultured bacterium. RNAcentral describes it as "partial 16S ribosomal RNA". It matches the Rfam family "Bacterial small subunit ribosomal RNA", at positions 28 to 526 of the family's 1533-position model. The record is from RNAcentral.
GACGAACGCUGGCGGCGUGCUUAACACAUGCAAGUCGAACGGAGUGGCGAACGGGUGAGUAACACGUGGGUGACCUGCCCUGCACUUCGGGAUAAGCCUGGGCAACUGGGUCUAAUACCGGAUAGUGUGGGUUGGGCCCGCGGCCUAUCAGCUUGUUGGUGGGGUAAUGGCCGACCAAGGCGGCGACGGGUGGCCGGCCGUGGAGGGUGGACGGCCACAUUGGGACUGAGAGACGGCGCAGAGGCCUAUGGGGGGCAGCAGGGGGGAAUAUUGCACAAUGGGCGGAAGCCUGAUGCAGAGACGCCGCGUGGGGGAUGACGGCCUUCGGGUUGUAAACUCCUUUCACCAUCGACGCGGUAGAUGGAGAAGAAGCACCGGCUAACUACGUGCCAGCCGCCGCGGUAAUUC